Molecule: ribosomal RNA, 494 nt
Filed under: uncultured bacterium
Lineage: Bacteria
Description: partial 16S ribosomal RNA
Rfam family: Bacterial small subunit ribosomal RNA
Source: RNAcentral
GACGAACGCUGGCGGCGUGCCUAAUACAUGCAAGUAGAACGCUGGAGGAGGAGCUUGCUUCUCUGGAUGAGUUGCGAACGGGUGAGUAACGCGUAGGUAACCUGCCUGGUAGCGGGGGAUAACUAUUGGAAACGAUAGCUAAUACCGCAUAAGAGUAGAUGUUGCAUGACAUUUGCUUAAAAGGUGCAAUUGCAUCACUACCAGAUGGACCUGCGUUGUAUUGCUAGUUGGUGGGGUAACGGCUCACCAAGGCGACGAUACAUAGCCGACCUGAGAGGGUGAUCGGCCACACUGGGACUGAGACACGGCCCAGACUCCUACGGGAGGCAGCAGUAGGGAAUCUUCGGCAAUGGACGGAAGUCUGACCGAGCAACGCCGCGUGAGUGAAGAAGGUUUUCGGAUCGUAAAGCUCUGUUGUAAGAGAAGAACGAGUGUGAGAGUGGAAAGUUCACACUGUGACGGUAUCUUACCAGAAAGGGACGGCUAACUACGUG